This 468-nucleotide ribosomal RNA is filed under the name uncultured bacterium. RNAcentral describes it as "partial 16S ribosomal RNA". It matches the Rfam family "Bacterial small subunit ribosomal RNA", at positions 28 to 507 of the family's 1533-position model. The record is from RNAcentral.
GACGAACGCUGGCGGCGUGCUUAACACAUGCAAGUCGAACGGAAAGGCCCUGCUUUUGUGGGGUGCUCGAGUGGCGAACGGGUGAGUAACACGUGAGUAACCUGCCCUUGACUUUGGGAUAACUUCAGGAAACUGGGGCUAAUACCGGAUAGGAGCUCCUGCUGCAUGGUGGGGGUUGGAAAGUUUCGGCGGUUGGGGAUGGACUCGCGGCUUAUCAGCUUGUUGGUGGGGUAGUGGCUUACCAAGGCUUUGACGGGUAGCCGGCCUGAGAGGGUGACCAGCCACAUUGGGACUGAGAUACGGCCCAGACUCCUACGGGAGGCAGCAGUGGGAAAUAUUGCACAAUGGGCGGAAGCCUGAUGCAGCAACGCCGCGUGCGGGAUGACGGCCUUCGGGUUGUAAACCUCUUUCGCCUGUGACGAAGCGUGAGUGACGGUAAUGGGUAAAGAAGCACCGGCUAACUACGUG